GACGAACGCUGGCGGCGUGCUUAACACAUGCAAGUCGAGCGAUGAAGUUUCUUCGGAAAUGGAUUAGCGGCGAACGGGUGAGGAACACGUGAAGAAUCUGCCCUCCACUUUGGGAUAACACCGGGAAACCGGUGCUAAUACUGAAUAUUGAAACAUAAGUGGCAUCACUGAGUUUUGAAAGAAUUUCGGUGGAGGAUGACUUCGCGGCCUAUCAGCUAGUUGGUGAGGUAAUGGCUCACGAAGGCAACGACGGGUAGCCGGCCUGCGAGGGCGACCGGCCACACUGGGACUGAGACACGGCCCAGACUCCUACGGGAGGCAGCAGUGGGGAAUAUUGGGCAAUGGAGGAAACUCUGACCCAGCGACGCCGCGUGCGGGAUGAAGGCCUUCGGGUUGUAAACCGCUUUCAGUAGGGAAGAAGCGAAAGUGACGGUACCUACAAAAGAAGCACCGGCUAACUAUGUGCCAGCCGCCGCCGUAA
This 481-nucleotide ribosomal RNA is filed under the name uncultured bacterium. RNAcentral describes it as "partial 16S ribosomal RNA". It matches the Rfam family "Bacterial small subunit ribosomal RNA", at positions 28 to 523 of the family's 1533-position model. The record is from RNAcentral.